GACGAACGCUGGCGGCGUGCUUAACACAUGCAAGUCGAACGAUGAAGCCUAGCUUGCGAGGUGGAUUAGUGGCGAACGGGUGAGUAAUACGUGAGUGACCUACCUUUUACUCUGGGAUAAGCCUGGGAAACUGGGUCUAAUACCGGAUACGACCAAUCCCCGCAUGGGGUGGGGGUGGAAAGCGUUAUGGGGUGGUUUUAGAUGGGCUCACGGCCUAUCAGCUUGUUGGUGAGGUAAUGGCUUACCAAGGCGACGACGGGUAGCCGGCCUGAGAGGGUGACCGGCCACACUGGGACUGAGAUACGGCCCAGACUCCUACGGGAGGCAGCAGUGGGGAAUAUUGCACAAUGGGCGCAAGCCUGAUGCAGCGACGCCGCGUGCGGGAUGACGGCCUUCGGGUUGUAAACCUCUGUUAGCGUUGAAGAAGCGAAAGUGACGGUAGGUGCAGAGAAAGCGCCGGCUAACUACGUG
This 471-nucleotide ribosomal RNA is filed under the name uncultured bacterium. RNAcentral's name for it is "partial 16S ribosomal RNA". It matches the Rfam family "Bacterial small subunit ribosomal RNA", at positions 28 to 507 of the family's 1533-position model. The record is from RNAcentral.